GAUGAACGCUGGCGGCGUGCCUAAUACAUGCAAGUCGAGCGAAUGGAUUAAGAGCUUGCUCUUAUGAAGUUAGCGGCGGACGGGUGAGUAACACGUGGGUAACCUGCCCAUAAGACUGGGAUAACUCCGGGAAACCGGGGCUAAUACCGGAUAACAUUUUGAACCGCAUGGUUCGAAAUUGAAAGGCGGCUUCGGCUGUCACUUAUGGAUGGACCCGCGUCGCAUUAGCUAGUUGGUGAGGUAACGGCUCACCAAGGCAACGAUGCGUAGCCGAGCUGAGAGGGUGAUCGGCCACACUGGGACUGAGACACGGCCCAGACUCCUACGGGAGGCAGCAGUAGGGAAUCUUCCGCAAUGGACGAAAGUCUGACGGAGCAACGCCGCGUGAGUGAGGAAGGCUUUCGGGUCGUAAAACUCUGUUGUUAGGGAAGAGCAAGUGCUAGUUGAAUAAGCUGGCACCUUGACGGUACCUAACCAGAAAGCCACGGCUAACUACGUGCCAGCCGCCGCGGUAA
RNAcentral lists this ribosomal RNA (515 nucleotides) under uncultured bacterium. Its description in RNAcentral is "partial 16S ribosomal RNA". It matches the Rfam family "Bacterial small subunit ribosomal RNA", at positions 28 to 523 of the family's 1533-position model. The record is from RNAcentral.